CAGUAGCCGCGGGAAUACGGAGGGAGCUAGCGUUGUUCGGAAUUACUGGGCGUAAAGCGCGCGUAGGCGGUUACUCAAGUCAGAGGUGAAAGCCCGGAGCUCAACCCCGGAACUGCCUUUGAAACUAGGUGACUAGAAUCUUGGAGAGGUCAGUGGAAUUCCGAGUGUAGAGGUGAAAUUCGUAGAUAUUCGGAAGAACACCAGUGGCGAAGGCGACUGACUGGACAAGUAUUGACGCUGAGGUGCGAAGGCGUGGGGAGCAAACAGGAUUAGAUACCCGUGUAGUCCCUGUCUCUUAUAC
RNAcentral lists this ribosomal RNA (301 nucleotides) under uncultured bacterium. RNAcentral's name for it is "partial 16S ribosomal RNA". It matches the Rfam family "Bacterial small subunit ribosomal RNA", at positions 509 to 807 of the family's 1533-position model. The record is from RNAcentral.